This 253-nucleotide ribosomal RNA is filed under the name uncultured bacterium. Its description in RNAcentral is "partial 16S ribosomal RNA". It matches the Rfam family "Bacterial small subunit ribosomal RNA", at positions 524 to 776 of the family's 1533-position model. The record is from RNAcentral.
UACGAAGGGGGCUAGCGUUGUUCGGAAUCACUGGGCGUAAAGCGUAUGUAGGCGGAUUGUUAAGUCAGGGGUGAAAUCCCGAGGCUCAACCUCGGAACUGCCUUUGAUACUGGCUUUCUUGAGUUCGGGAGAGGUGAGUGGAACUCCUAGUGUAGAGGUGAAAUUCGUAGAUAUUAGGAAGAACACCAGUGGCGAAGGCGGCUCACUGGCCCGGUACUGACGCUGAGGUGCGAAAGCGUGGGGAGCAAACAGG